GACGAACGCUGGCGGCGUGCUUAACACAUGCAAGUCGAACGGAAAGGCCCUGCUUGCAGGGUACUCGAGUGGCGAACGGGUGAGUAACACGUGGGUGAGCUGCCCUGCACUUCGGGAUAAGCCUGGGAAACUGGGUCUAAUACCGGAUAGGAGCCAUUUUUAGUGUGAGGGGGGGAAAGUUUUUUCGGUGUGGGAGGAGCUCGCGGCCUAUCAGCUUGUUGGGGGGGUAAUGGCCUACCAAGGCGGCGACGGGUAGCCGGCCUGAGAGGGUGGACGGCCACAUUGGGACUGAGAUACGGCCCAGACUCCUACGGGAGGCAGCAGUGGGGAAUAUUGCACAAUGGGCGCAAGCCUGAUGCAGCGACGCCGCGUGGGGGAUGACGGCCUUCGGGUUGUAAACUCCUUUCGCUAGGGACGAAGCUUUUUGUGACGGUACCUAGAUAAGAAGCACCGGCUAACUACGUG
This 465-nucleotide ribosomal RNA is filed under the name uncultured bacterium. Its description in RNAcentral is "partial 16S ribosomal RNA". It matches the Rfam family "Bacterial small subunit ribosomal RNA", at positions 28 to 507 of the family's 1533-position model. The record is from RNAcentral.